Molecule: ribosomal RNA, 497 nt
Filed under: uncultured bacterium
Lineage: Bacteria
Description: partial 16S ribosomal RNA
Rfam family: Bacterial small subunit ribosomal RNA
Source: RNAcentral
AUUGAACGCUGGCGGCAUGCCUUACACAUGCAAGUCGAACGGUAACGCGGGGCAACCUGGCGACGAGUGGCGAACGGGUGAGUAAAGCAUCGGAACGUGCCCAGUAGUGGGGGAUAGCUCGGCGAAAGCCGGAUUAAUACCGCAUACGACCUAUGGGUGAAAGGGGGGAUCGCAAGACCUCUCGCUAUUGGAGCGGCCGAUGUCAGAUUAGGUAGUUGGUGGGGUAAAGGCCUACCAAGCCGACGAUCUGUAGCUGGUCUGAGAGGACGACCAGCCACACUGGGACUGAGACACGGCCCAGACUCCUACGGGAGGCAGCAGUGGGGAAUUUUGGACAAUGGGCGCAAGCCUGAUCCAGCCAUGCCGCGUGCGGGAAGAAGGCCUUCGGGUUGUAAACCGCUUUUGUCAGGGAAGAAAUCCUUUGGGUUAAUACCUCGGGGGGAUGACGGUACCUGAAGAAUAAGCACCGGCUAACUACGUGCCAGCCGCCGCAGUAA